UAUUGUUGUUGUUGCUGCAAUUAAUUAUUACUAUUGUUGUUGUUGUUGUUAUGGUUGCUGAUGAUGGGAAAAUAAUUUUGCCCAGUUUUGAGGGUUAUAUUGUUGUUGUUUUCGUACUGCGUAUUCAGGCCAAAAAUCUAUCUGUAGUCCAUACUAUUUUGGCAAUUAGCUUAGCCAUAGAGAUUAUGCCCUCAUAUGAUUUCUUUAGAAACUUGUUUCAAUCUGAUGAGAUUGUAGCUGCUAAAAGGAUUUCCUGAUAUCUUUGUACACAAUAUUGAGAAAUAUGUGGCACCUACAAAUUCUAGCUAUUUUGCGAGAACAUAGAGUGCCGACUCCGAUACUGCUAGGUUGGUUCUUUACCAUCCUAAAGUUUUCAUGGUAAGUUCUGAUCAGGCUGAGAAGUGGAGGAGACUGAGUUUGACGCUUCGAAGGAGAAGUAGACUCAAACUACAAGAAGGCAUAAAAAUUCUACAAUAUGUGAUUAGAUACGUAAUAUUAUGGGGAAAGCGAAAUGCUUGUACCUGGUUAUUGAUAAUUCUGUCUCCCAAACAAAAUGCAGACAAGGGAGGAAAAUUUGUAUGAGGCAUAAACAAGGGGUUUGCAAGGCUUAUUUAAUUAUUCUCUGUGAUUCUUAGAGCAUUUUUAUGGUGAUUAUUGAUUAAUGAUAGAAAGUUUCUUGAUCGCGAA
Long non-coding RNA from Morus notabilis, 687 nucleotides. RefSeq lists it as uncharacterized. Lineage: Eukaryota; Viridiplantae; Streptophyta; Magnoliopsida; Rosales; Moraceae. The record is from RefSeq and is a predicted model, not a curated record. The transcript is spliced from 2 exons.